Cricetulus griseus (Chinese hamster) is the source of this 100-nucleotide small nuclear RNA. The record is from Ensembl. Lineage: Eukaryota; Metazoa; Chordata; Mammalia; Rodentia; Cricetidae.
AUGCUCGCUUCUGCAGCACAUACACUAAAAAACUAGAACAAUACAGAGAAGAUUAGCAUGGCCCCAUGACACGCAAAUUUGUGAAGCAUUACAUAUUUUU